AAGUAUUACAGCCCUUUUAGAAUUUGUUUAGCAGGCUUUCUAAUCUUUACUGGAAAGCCCCU
Molecule: small nuclear RNA, 62 nt
Filed under: Aotus nancymaae (Ma's night monkey)
Lineage: Eukaryota; Metazoa; Chordata; Mammalia; Primates; Aotidae
Description: U7 small nuclear RNA (ENSANAG00000007243.1)
Rfam family: U7 small nuclear RNA
About the family: Animal histone pre-mRNAs are spliced by a different mechanism than nuclear pre-mRNAs and self-splicing introns.
Source: Rfam by way of RNAcentral